AGAAUCAACGCUGGCGGCGUGCCUAACACAUGCAAGUCGAACGAGAAAGUGGAGCAAUCCAUGAGUAAAGUGGCGCACGGGUGAGUAACACGUGACUAACCUACCCUUGAGUGGGGAAUAACUUCGGGAAACCGAGGCUAAUACCGCAUAACACCUACGGGUCAAAGGAGCAAUUCGCUUAAGGAGGGGUCGCGGCAGAUUAGUUAGUUGGCGGGGUAAUGGCCCACCAAGGCAGUGAUCUGUA
RNAcentral lists this ribosomal RNA (244 nucleotides) under uncultured bacterium. RNAcentral describes it as "partial small subunit ribosomal RNA". It matches the Rfam family "Bacterial small subunit ribosomal RNA", at positions 26 to 285 of the family's 1533-position model. The record is from RNAcentral.